AGGAUACAUUCAGUAUACGUUCA
This 23-nucleotide microRNA is filed under the name Aedes aegypti (yellow fever mosquito). RNAcentral describes it as "Aae-Iab-4-P1-as_3p* (star (passenger))". The record is from RNAcentral. Lineage: Eukaryota; Metazoa; Arthropoda; Insecta; Diptera; Culicidae. RNAcentral also lists the same sequence under 1 other name.